Molecule: ribosomal RNA, 253 nt
Filed under: uncultured bacterium
Lineage: Bacteria
Description: partial 16S ribosomal RNA
Rfam family: Bacterial small subunit ribosomal RNA
Source: RNAcentral
UACGUAGGGACCGAGCGUUGUCCGGAUUCAUUGGGCGUAAAGAGCGUGUAGGCGGCCAGAUAGGUCUGCUGUGAAAACUCGAGGCUCAACCUCGAGAUGUCGGCGGAAACCAUUUGGCUAGAGUCCGGAAGAGGAAAGUGGAAUUCCUGGUGUAGCGGUGAAAUGCGCAGAUAUCAGGAAGAACACCCGUGGCGAAGGCGGCUUUCUGGGACGGUACUGACGCUGAGACGCGAAAGCGUGGGGAGCGAACAGG